RNAcentral lists this ribosomal RNA (603 nucleotides) under Bacillus thuringiensis. Its description in RNAcentral is "bacterial SSU rRNA". It matches the Rfam family "Bacterial small subunit ribosomal RNA", at positions 80 to 666 of the family's 1533-position model. Lineage: Bacteria; Bacillati; Bacillota; Bacilli; Caryophanales; Bacillaceae. The record is from RNAcentral.
UUGCUCUUAUGAAGUUAGCGGCGGACGGGUGAGUAACACGUGGGUAACCUGCCCAUAAGACUGGGAUAACUCCGGGAAACCGGGGCUAAUACCGGAUAACAUUUUGAACCGCAUGGUUCGAAAUUGAAAGGCGGCUUCGGCUGUCACUUAUGGAUGGACCCGCGUCGCAUUAGCUAGUUGGUGAGGUAACGGCUCACCAAGGCAACGAUGCGUAGCCGACCUGAGAGGGUGAUCGGCCACACUGGGACUGAGACACGGCCCAGACUCCUACGGGAGGCAGCAGUAGGGAAUCUUCCGCAAUGGACGAAAGUCUGACGGAGCAACGCCGCGUGAGUGAUGAAGGCUUUCGGGUCGUAAAACUCUGUUGUUAGGGAAGAACAAGUGCUAGUUGAAUAAGCUGGCACCUUGACGGUACCUAACCAGAAAGCCACGGCUAACUACGUGCCAGCAGCCGCGGUAAUACGUAGGUGGCAAGCGUUAUCCGGAAUUAUUGGGCGUAAAGCGCGCGCAGGUGGUUUCUUAAGUCUGAUGUGAAAGCCCACGGCUCAACCGUGGAGGGUCAUUGGAAACUGGGAGACUUGAGUGCAGAAGAGGAAAGUGGAA